GAUGAACGCUGACAGAAUGCUUAACACAUGCAAGUCGAUGGGGAAGUGGUGCUUGCACCAUGGUAACCAUGGCGGACGGGUGAGUAACGCGUACGGAACUUGCCUGCGGGACUGGGAUAACAGCAGGAAACUGCUGAUAAUACCGGAUAAGGUCAUUAAGCUGCAUAGCUUAGUGAUGAAAGGAGACGCCUGCGGAGAGCCUUGCGUCCUAUUAGCUAGUUGGAGGGGUAACGGCCCACCAAGGCGAAGAUAGGUAGCCGGCCUGAGAGGGUGGACGGCCACAAGGGGACUGAGAUACGGCCCUUACUCCUACGGGAGGCAGCAGUGGGGAAUAUUGGACAAUGGGGGCAACCCUGAUCCAGCAAUUCUGUGUGCACGAAGACGGUUUUCGGAUUGUAAAGUGCUUUCAGCAGGGAAGAAGGAAGUGACGGUACCUGCAGAAGAAGCGACGGCUAAAUACGUG
This 463-nucleotide ribosomal RNA is filed under the name uncultured bacterium. Its description in RNAcentral is "partial 16S ribosomal RNA". It matches the Rfam family "Bacterial small subunit ribosomal RNA", at positions 28 to 507 of the family's 1533-position model. The record is from RNAcentral.